The sequence is a ribosomal RNA, 434 nucleotides long. It matches the Rfam family "Bacterial small subunit ribosomal RNA", at positions 341 to 792 of the family's 1533-position model.
ACGGAAGGCAGCAGUGGGGAAUAUUGCACAAUGGGCGCAAGCCUGAUGCAGCAACGCCGCGUGAGGGAAGACGGUCUUCGGAUUGUAAACCUCUGUCUUGGUGACGAAGAAUGACGGUAGCCGAGGAGGAAGCCACGGCUAACUACGUGCCAGCAGCCGCGGUAAUACGUAGGUGGCAAGCGUUAUCCGGAUUUACUGGGUGUAAAGGGCGCGUAGGCGGGGAUGCAAGUCAGAUGUGAAAUCCAUGGGCUUAACCCAUGAACUGCAUUUGAAACUGUAUCUCUUGAGUGUCGGAGAGGUAGACGGAAUUCCUAGUGUAGCGGUGAAAUGCGUAGAUAUUAGGAGGAACACCAGUGGCGAAGGCGGUCUACUGGACGAUAACUGACGCUGAGGCGCGAAAGCGUGGGGAGCAAACAGGAUUAGAUACCCUGGUA